UAAUCCGGGUUGCGGACAGUGUCUGGUGGGUAGUUUGACUGGGGCGGUCUCCUCCUAAAGAGUAACGGAGGAGCACGAAGGUUGGCUAAUCCUGGUCGGACAUCAGGAGGUUAGUGCAAUGGCAUAAGCCAGCUUGACUGCGAGCGUGACGGCGCGAGCAGGUGCGAAAGCAGGUCAUAGUGAUCCGGUGGUUCUGAAUGGAAGGGCCAUCGCUCAACGGAUAAAAGGUACUCCGGGGAUAACAGGCUGAUACCGCCCAAGAGUUCAUAUCGACGGCGGUGUUUGGCACCUCGAUGUCGGCUCAUCACAUCCUGGGGCUGAAGUAGGUCCCAAGGGUAUGGCUGUUCGCCAUUUAAAGUGGUACGCGAGCUGGGUUUAGAACGUCGUGAGACAGUUCGGUCCCUAUCUGCCGUGGGCGCUGGAGAACUGAGGGGGGCUGCUCCUAGUACGAGAGGACCGGAGUGGACGCAUCACUGGUGUUCGGGUUGUCAUGCCAAUGGCACUGCCCGGUAGCUAAAUGCGGAAGAGAUAAGUGCUGAAAGCAUCUAAGCACGAAACUUGCCCCGAGA
RNAcentral lists this ribosomal RNA (569 nucleotides) under Salmonella enterica. Its description in RNAcentral is "partial 23S ribosomal RNA". It matches the Rfam family "Bacterial large subunit ribosomal RNA", at positions 2236 to 2804 of the family's 2925-position model. The record is from RNAcentral. Lineage: Bacteria; Pseudomonadati; Pseudomonadota; Gammaproteobacteria; Enterobacterales; Enterobacteriaceae.